This 452-nucleotide ribosomal RNA is filed under the name uncultured bacterium. RNAcentral's name for it is "bacterial SSU rRNA". It matches the Rfam family "Bacterial small subunit ribosomal RNA", at positions 328 to 794 of the family's 1533-position model. The record is from RNAcentral.
UUGCCAGACUCCUACGGGAGGCAGCAGUGGGGAAUGUUGGGCAAUGGGCGCAAGCCUGACCCAGCAACGCCGCGUGAAGGAAGAAGGCUUUCGGGUUGUAAACUUCUUUUCUCAGGGACGAAGCAAGUGACGGUACCUGAGGAAUAAGCCACGGCUAACUACGUGCCAGCAGCCGCGGUAAUACGGAGGGUGCGAGCGUUAAUCGGAAUUACUGGGCGUAAAGCGCUCGUAGGCGGUAUGUCAAGUCAAGGGUGAAAUCCCCGCGCUCAACGUGGGAACUGCCUUUGAAACUGGCAAACUGGAGUGUGUGAGAGGAUAGUGGAAUUCCAGGUGUAGGAGUGAAAUCCGUAGAUAUCUGGAGGAACAUCAGUGGCGAAGGCGACUAUCUGGCACAUAACUGACGCUGAGGAGCGAAAGCGUGGGUAGCAAACAGGAUUAGAUACCCCCGUAUU